ACUCCUGCGGGAGGCAGCAGUGGGGAAUUUUGGACAAUGGGCGAAAGCCUGAUCCAGCAAUGCCGCGUGUGUGAAGAAGGCCUUCGGGUUGUAAAGCACUUUUGUCCGGAAAGAAAUCCUUGGCUCUAAUACAGUCGGGGGAUGACGGUACCGGAAGAAUAAGCACCGGCUAACUACGUGCCAGCAGCCGCGGUAAUACGUAGGGUGCGAGCGUUAAUCGGAAUUACUGGGCGUAAAGCGUGCGCAGGCGGUUUGCUGAGACCGAUGUGAAAUCCCCGGGCUCAACCUGGGAACUGCAUUGGUGACUGGCAGGCUAGAGUAUGGCAGAGGGGGGUAGAAUUCCACGUGUAGCAGUGAAAUGCGUAGAGAUGUGGAGGAAUACCGAUGGCGAAGGCAGCCCCCUGGGCCAAUACUGACGCUCAUGCACGAAAGCGUGGGGAGCAAACAGGAUUAGAAACCCGUGUAGUCCC
Molecule: ribosomal RNA, 470 nt
Filed under: uncultured organism
Description: partial 16S ribosomal RNA
Rfam family: Bacterial small subunit ribosomal RNA
Source: RNAcentral